AAUGAACGUUGGCGGCGUGGAUUAGGCAUGCAAGUCGAGCGAGAACCGUAGCAAUACGGGGACAGCGGCGAAAGGGACAGUAAUGUGUAGGUACCUACCCCCGGGUUCGGGAUAGCUGCGGGAAACUGCAGGUAAUACCGAAUAAUGUCUUCGGACCAAAGGUGUGAUUCCACCUGGGGAGGGGCCUGCAUCCUAUUAGCUUGUUGGUGGGGUAACGGCUUACCAAGGCGACGAUGGGUAGCGGGUGUGAGAGCAUGACCCGCGUCAUUGGGGCUGAGACACUGCCCAGACACCUACGGGUGGCUGCAGUCGAGGAUCUUCGGCAAUGGGCGCAAGCCUGACCGAGCGACGCCGCGUGCGGGAUGAAGGCCUUCGGGUUGUAAACCGCUGUCGUAGAGGAGGAAAUGCAGGAGGGUUCUCCCUUCUGUUUGACCUAUUCUAGGAGGAAGUACGGGCUAAGUUCGUGCCAGCAGCCGCCGCGG
RNAcentral lists this ribosomal RNA (482 nucleotides) under uncultured bacterium. RNAcentral's name for it is "partial 16S ribosomal RNA". It matches the Rfam family "Bacterial small subunit ribosomal RNA", at positions 28 to 523 of the family's 1533-position model. The record is from RNAcentral.